Molecule: ribosomal RNA, 766 nt
Filed under: uncultured bacterium O8SA
Lineage: Bacteria
Description: bacterial SSU rRNA
Rfam family: Bacterial small subunit ribosomal RNA
Source: RNAcentral
UUGGAGAGUUUGAUCCUGGCUCAGGAUGAACGCUGGCGGCGUGCCUAACACAUGCAAGUCGAGCGAUUCUCUUCGGAGAARAGCGGCGGACGGGUGAGUAACGCGUGGGUAACCUGCCCUGUACACACGGAUAACAUACCGAAAGGUAUGCUAAUACGAGAUGAUAUAUAAAAGUUGCAUGACUUUUAUAUCAAAGCUUUUGCGGUAUAGGAUGGACCCGCGUCUGAUUAGCUAGUUGGUAAGGUAACGGCUUACCAAGGCGACGAUCAGUAGCCGACCUGAGAGGGUUGAUCGGCCACACUGGAACUGAGACACGGUCCAGACUCCUACGGGAGGCAGCAGUGGGGAAUAUUGCACAAUGGGCGAAAGCCUGAUGCAGCAACGCCGCGUGAGCGAUGAAGGCCUUCGGGUCGUAAAGCUCUGUCCUCANAGGAAGAUAAUGACGGUACUUGAGGAGGAAGCCCCGGCUAACUACGUGCCAGCAGCCGCGGUAAUACGUAGGGGGCUAGCGUUAUCCGGAAUUACUGGGCGUAAAGGGUGCGUAGGCGGUCUUUCAAGCCAGAAGUGAAAGGCUACGGCUCAACCGUAGUAAGCUUUUGGAACUGUAAGACUUGAGUGCAGGAGAGGAGAGUGGAAUUCCUAGUGUAGCGGUGAAAUGCGUAGAUAUUAGGAGGAACACCAGUAGCGAAGGCGGCUCUCUGGACUGUAACUGACGCUGAGGCACGAAAGCGUGGGGAGCAAACAGGAUUAGAUACCCUGGUAGUCC